Molecule: non-coding RNA, 73 nt
Organism: Capra hircus (goat)
Lineage: Eukaryota; Metazoa; Chordata; Mammalia; Artiodactyla; Bovidae
Source: the annotation of a RefSeq genome assembly
UCCCUGGUGGUCCAGUGGUUAAGAUACUACACUUCCAAUGCAGGGGUUGCAGGUUCAAACCCUGGUUGGGGAA